AGCCCUGUAGUCUAGCGGCCAAUGCGAAAGCGGCUAUGGAUGACUGCCUCUGGAGCAGUAUACCCAGGUUCGAAUCCUGGCAGGGCUA
RNAcentral lists this transfer RNA (88 nucleotides) under archaeon GW2011_AR5. Its description in RNAcentral is "tRNA-Gln". It matches the Rfam family "tRNA". From Rfam's summary of the family: Transfer RNA (tRNA) molecules are approximately 80 nucleotides in length. Their secondary structure includes four short double-helical elements and three loops (D, anti-codon, and T loops). The record is from RNAcentral.